RNAcentral lists this transfer RNA (72 nucleotides) under Deltaproteobacteria bacterium. RNAcentral's name for it is "tRNA-Thr". It matches the Rfam family "tRNA". Rfam says of the family: Transfer RNA (tRNA) molecules are approximately 80 nucleotides in length. The record is from RNAcentral. Lineage: Bacteria; Pseudomonadati; Myxococcota; Myxococcia.
GCCGAUGUAGCUCAGAGGAAGAGCAGCUCACUCGUAAUGAGCAGGUCGUGGGUUCGAAUCCCACCGUCGGCU